UUCUUUUUUGUUAAAGUAUUCCCUCUUAUUCUCUCGUUGACUGCUCCAUCACCACAUACUUCGUCUUAUUCUUCUUCUGCUAUGGCACAACAACAUCAUUGCAGCAUCCCAAAUUUCGUGCUGCAGCUUCCUCUUCUCCCUUUGAACCUCUCUCCCUUGUCUAUUCAAGCUCUCCCUCGUCGGUUUUCCUCUCAAAAAAUCGUCAGCAACAAUGGAGGGACUGAUGUUUUCGUUGGUUUCAUUACUUUUUUCUCUCUCUUUUUAGUUUUUAUAUGUGGAAAGGAGAAGACAACACCCUUUUCUUUCUUUCUCUCUCUAUCUCUCUCUAAAAGACCCACUUACACAGUCCAUUCUCUUCACCUAUCCACUCAUUUUCUUCACCCAUCUACCCAUCACUCGAUAUUCACAACUGCAGCCCCACCCUUCGAACAUCAUACGCCGGCCUACCUCCAGAGGUGUUCUUUUCUGCGUGCAACCCUGGGAUUCGAGGAACUGUGCGUGCAUCACAUCCUUUAGUACUCACAGCUCUAUGGAGUUUAAAUUAUGAGCUUCUAUCAGAGGCAUCUGUAAACGAUAUUACUUUUGAACAUGCCCCAAGCUUUUAGUUGCUCGUUGUAGUAAACUUAAAGCUACAUUACAACAUCUAAAUCUGUGUUUCUAUUUCCUGAACUAAUUCUGUUGAGAAAAUCAAGUAGCCGAUUAUAAUGUUUGCACUCGUAUACCCCUUCCAUCACAUUUUUUGAUUGAGAUAUGCGUGUGAUCUUAUAAAAGAUAAAUAAUUAGCAAGCUUGUGUAUUAGGAAUGCUUUUCAAGACUUUUGCAUGUAUUAUUACUAAUUUCUCUUUGGUUAUUUAAAAAUUAUUACAAAUUUCUUUUAGAAUAUGAAAUCUCUUAUAUUAAAAUUUUUCAGGAUUUUUCAUUAUUUAUCUGAUGCUUCUUUUCUCCAGUAAAUCUUCCCCUUCUAAAUGCUGAACAAUCUCAACAUUUUAUAUUUUCGAGUCCAUUAAUGAAUCUAUUAUUCUGUUGGUUUGGUCAUGCUUUUUGGCACAUUAUUCUUUAUUUUUUGAAAUCCAUGUUGGAUUGUAUUGUAACUUUUUUGGUGUUCGUUUUUCUUGGAUGGAGAAUUUCUUUUUCCUUUUAUCUUUUCCUUCUUGCUGCAAUGAUAAGUGAAGCGUCAUUUUUCAAGAACCAGUCUACUGGCCAGUAUUAAUGUUGUUGGUUGUUUGGCAACUAAGAGAAGAAGACUAUAACCAGAAGUUAUUGAUGUUUUCCAUUGGCAGAAGGAGGAUCUUGAUCAUCUUUUGUGGGUUGGCACUUGGUAGUUUGUUUAUUCCUCGUGGCGUCAGCUUUUGAGGGUUUGGGGUUUGAAAAUUCAAUGAAACAGUAAUGCCCGUGGGUUUUAAUUUAGUUUGUUUUUAAUUUCUGCAUUCAGGAUGAAGAAGAUGUGAAGACCACUUGCUCGGUUAUUUGAUGACAUGGGAGAUUCAUAUGCUGAAUUGAUUGCUAUUGGUUCUGAUGAAUCGAUGUUGAUAGUCCAUGCUCUACUUGAAGUUACUUCACACCCUAAAUAUGAUAUUGCAUCCACGACCUUUAAUUUUUGGCACAACCUGCAAUUGAACUUGACAAAAAGGUGUUGGAGGUGGUGGCACUGAUGGAGGUGAGGAGUUUCAACAUUAUUUUGAUUUUAUAACUUGUUUGGGGGCAACAAACUAUGUAUUCUAGUGUGGCUGUAAAGGUUAUCAGACUCUACUGAACAUUGACAUGAGGAGAGAGCUUGAUCAUAUGGUGAGUUAUUAUAAAAUCUUCAGCUAGUGAGAAAAGGUAUAUGGAAAUAGUUUUCUUGUGUUUUGUUAUUAGAUUAACCAUUAUUUAUUGUUUCUUCCAUUCGGAAAAGAACUAUAAAGAUUGUUAAGAGGUUAGGAAGGACAUAUAAGAAUCGACAAUGACUUUAUCUUUUUGAGCA
Long non-coding RNA from Cucumis melo (muskmelon), 1963 nucleotides. RefSeq lists it as uncharacterized. The record is from RefSeq and is a predicted model, not a curated record. Lineage: Eukaryota; Viridiplantae; Streptophyta; Magnoliopsida; Cucurbitales; Cucurbitaceae. The transcript is spliced from 4 exons.